This 484-nucleotide ribosomal RNA is filed under the name uncultured bacterium. RNAcentral describes it as "partial 16S ribosomal RNA". It matches the Rfam family "Bacterial small subunit ribosomal RNA", at positions 30 to 507 of the family's 1533-position model. The record is from RNAcentral.
AUUGAACGCUGGCGGCAGGCCUAACACAUGCAAGUCGAGCGGCUGAAGGGAGCUUGCUCCUGGAUUCAGCGGCGGACGGGUGGGUAAUGCCUAGGAAUCUGCCUGUUAGUGGGGGAUAACGUCCGGAAACGGGCGCUAAUACCGCAUACGUCCUUAGGGAGAAAGUGUGGGAUCUUCGGACCUCACGCUAUCAGAUGAGCCUAGGUCGGAUUAGCUAGUUGGUGGGGUAAAGGCCUACCAAGGCGACGAUCCGUAACUGGUCUGAGAGGAUGAUCAGUCACACUGGAACUGAGACACGGUCCAGACUCCUACGGGAGGCAGCAGUGGGGAAUAUUGGACAAUGGGCGAAAGCCUGAUCCAGCCAUGCCGCGUGUGUGAAGAAGGUCUUCGGAUUGUAAAGCACUUUAAGUUGGGAAGAAGAGCAGUAAGUUAAUACCUUGCUGUUUUGACGUUACCAACAGAAUAAGCACCGGCUAACUUCGUG